GACGAACGCUGGCGGCGUGCUUAACACAUGCAAGUCGAGCGGUAAGGCCCUUUCGGGGGUACGACGAGCGGCGAACGGGUGAGUAACGCGUGGGUGACCUGCCCUCAGCUCUGGGAUAAGCCUGGGAAACCGGGUCUAAUACUGGAUAUGACUCCAUGACGCAUGUUGUGGGGUGGAAAGCCUUGUGCGGCUGAGGAUGGGCCCGCGGCCUAUCAGCUUGUUGGUGGGGUGANGGCCUACCAAGGCGACGACGGGUAGCCGGCCUGAGAGGGCGACCGGCCACACUGGGACUGAGACACGGCCCAGACUCCUACGGGAGGCAGCAGUGGGGAAUCUUGCGCAAUGGGCGAAAGCCUGACGCAGCGACGCCGCGUGAGGGAUGACGGCCU
Molecule: ribosomal RNA, 389 nt
Filed under: uncultured bacterium
Lineage: Bacteria
Description: bacterial SSU rRNA
Rfam family: Bacterial small subunit ribosomal RNA
Source: RNAcentral